AAUAUUGGACAAUGGGCGAAAGCCUGACCCAGCCAUGCCGCGUGAGUGAAGAAUGUANNNGGAUUNUAAAGCAUUUUUUGGUGNGAANUAUGGCAGUAAGUAAAUACCUUGCUGUUUUGUCGUUAGCGACAGAAGAUGCACCCGCUAACUUCGAGCUAGCAGCCGCGGUAAUACGUAGGGGGCAAGCGUUGUCCGGAAUUAUUGGGCAUAAAGGGCACGCAGGCGGUUAUUUAAGUCUGAUGUGAAAUCUUGUGGCUUAACCACAAGCGGUCAUUGGAAACUGGAUAACUUGAGUACAGAAGAGGAGAGUGGAAUUCCACGUGUAGCGGUGAAAUGCGUAGAGAUGUGGAGGAACACCAGUGGCGAAGGCGGCUCUCUGGUCUGUAACUGACGCUGAGGUGCGAAAGCGUGGGUAGCGAACA
Molecule: ribosomal RNA, 422 nt
Filed under: uncultured bacterium
Lineage: Bacteria
Description: partial 16S ribosomal RNA
Rfam family: Bacterial small subunit ribosomal RNA
Source: RNAcentral